GCCUGGUGGUUCAGUUGGUUGAACAUCUGACUUUGGCUCAGGUCAUGAUCUCAAGGUCCAUGAGUUCAAGCCCCGUAUCGGGCU
This 84-nucleotide transfer RNA is filed under the name Felis catus (domestic cat). It matches the Rfam family "tRNA". Rfam says of the family: Transfer RNA (tRNA) molecules are approximately 80 nucleotides in length. The record is from Rfam by way of RNAcentral. RNAcentral also lists the same sequence under 1 other name. Lineage: Eukaryota; Metazoa; Chordata; Mammalia; Carnivora; Felidae.